Molecule: long non-coding RNA, 362 nt
Filed under: Nicotiana benthamiana
Lineage: Eukaryota; Viridiplantae; Streptophyta; Magnoliopsida; Solanales; Solanaceae
Description: long non-coding RNA (NBEN_LNC005773)
Source: RNAcentral
UAAAGUCCCCUCCAAUAACUACCUUCUCAGACUGGGGAAUCCUCUCCACCAGAUCAUCCAAGAGAAGGGAGAGGAAGGGCCCUGUAGCAUGUGGAGGAAACAUGAAUGUUCAGAGAACAUGACUAUACAAUGUAAUUCCGUUACCAACUUAUGGACAGAAAUUAAGUUGUGUGUGAAAGAAAGAAUUAACAGUACAUUAUGAAGAACAAUAGAAGAAGUCAAUUGGAAGGAGCCUGUGCAAGUUACUUUUACUUUGUAACCAUUAGGAAGAGUCACAAGAUAAGGAACAGAUAAAGGUGUAAGGUUAAAAAGUAGUUGUUUGUUAUAGGUCAUAUGAUUAGAUGCACCAGAAUCUAUUNNNN